Molecule: ribosomal RNA, 253 nt
Filed under: uncultured bacterium
Lineage: Bacteria
Description: partial 16S ribosomal RNA
Rfam family: Bacterial small subunit ribosomal RNA
Source: RNAcentral
AACGUAGGGUGCAAGCGUUGUCCGGAAUUACUGGGUGUAAAGGGAGCGCAGGCGGAUUGACAAGUUGGGAGUGAAAACUACGGGCUCAACCCGUAACCUGCUUUCAAAACUGUCAGUCUUGAGUGGUGUAGAGGUAGGCGGAAUUCCCGGUGUAGCGGUGGAAUGCGUAGAUAUCGGGAGGAACACCAGUGGCGAAGGCGGCCUACUGGGCACUAACUGACGCUGAGGCUCGAAAGCAUGGGUAGCAAACAGG